Molecule: ribosomal RNA, 467 nt
Filed under: uncultured bacterium
Lineage: Bacteria
Description: bacterial SSU rRNA
Rfam family: Bacterial small subunit ribosomal RNA
Source: RNAcentral
CGCUGGCGGCGUGCCUAACACAUGCAAGUCGAGCGAGGAGAUCCUUCGGGAUGAUCCUAGCGGCGGACGGGUGAGUAACACGUGGGCAACCUGCCUCAUAGAGAGGAAUAGCCUUCCGAAAGGGAGAUUAAUACCUCAUAACAUUGCAGUUUCGCAUGGAACAGCAAUUAAAGGAGCAAUCCACUAUGAGAUGGGCCCGCGGCGCAUUAGCUAGUUGGUGAGGUAACGGCUCACCAAGGCGACGAUGCGUAGCCGACCUGAGAGGGUGAUCGGCCACAUUGGGACUGAGACACGGCCCAGACUCCUACGGGAGGCAGCAGUGGGGAAUAUUGCACAAUGGGGGAAACCCUGAUGCCAGCAACGCCGCGUGAGUGAUGACGGCCUUCGGGUUGUAAAGCUCUGUCUUCAGGGACGAUAAUGACGGUACCUGAGGAGGAAGCCACGGCUAACUACGUGCCAGCCGCCGC